Lagopus leucura (white-tailed ptarmigan) is the source of this 2545-nucleotide long non-coding RNA. RefSeq lists it as uncharacterized. The transcript is spliced from 6 exons. Lineage: Eukaryota; Metazoa; Chordata; Aves; Galliformes; Phasianidae. The record is from RefSeq and is a predicted model, not a curated record.
AAAUUAAUUAGCGUUGUAGUUCCUGCCUGGGAACUUGUAAACAUGCAGCAGCCGUGUUGUCCCCCCCGCCCCUGCAGUCCCGUCCCACCCCCUCCCCGAGGUGCAGUCCGAUCUCUCUGACACAAACACUCGAGAACAAAGCUGCCCGCCUAAUUCAGGGAAUUAUCAGGAAGCCUGGAGCUGUGCUGAGAUAAUGAGCCUGAAAUAGCAGCCUGCUGGGUCUGCAGCAGCGCCGGGACCCGGGCUGGGACCCCAGGGGAGGGCAAGGCCAACUUCAGGUGGACGAGCUCCCAGCCUGGUUCCUAGGGAUGCCUGGGAGAACAGACAGCAAGUUCAGUGUCAUCGCUGCAUGGACUGCAUGGAGCUGCCCUGAGUGCUGCCCAACAUGUACAGCUGUCACCCUUGCUGCAGGCAUCAGCCCAGGUGCAUAAAUCCCAUGGAGAGAGGCUGGUAAUUCCUGUUUGCAGGAUGCAGUUCUCCCUGUUGCGAUCUGUGCCACCACGGAAAAGCCCAAGCUCCCCUUUUGAAGCCCUGGGAACACGGAGGUGUGGCCCUGAGCAGAGGAGCUGGACAGGAACACUUCUCUCACAUCGUCCUUGGUGAGGGGAUGACAUUUAAUUGCUGCCAUUGUUCCCAGGCACGAGGCUGCACCAGCAUCACCAGUAUUAGUAGACAGUGGACAGGCAGCGUUCCUCCUGGUGCACAGCGACCGUCCCCUCCUCCCAGCCCGGGGUUGUGUGCGAUGGAGUCUGGGUGCCAACCCUCACCCACAGCCCUCCUCCAGCCGCAGGAACGAGGAGCAGAGUCUGACUAUUGUUAUGUUUGAGUAAAUUAACAGAUCUCUUCAGCAGACUCCCAGAACUCUGUCUACCCAGGCUCAUUUACCAGCGUUAUCUGUGCCAGCGCAGAGCCCAUUGCCCCCUGCCCCUCCCCACAGCACAGCCCCACUGCCCUACAGAGCAGACAGAACCCAGCAAUGCUCAUGGACUUUCUCAGCACAGCUCUCACCCCUGUCUGCAUGCACACACACACAAGAACACUCCCUCAGUGGAUACACGGAAGUUGUCCUGCAAUGCUUUGCAGCCCCCCAGCAAUAUGCAGGGCCACAUUCCUGCCCACUUAGCAGCAACCCAGGGGCUGCCCAGUGCGCUCACCUCACCGUGCGGUGCCUGAGGCCCCACUGCUGCUGUGCUGAAGCUGCUCCGCCAAAUCUCCCACAUCUUGGCCGAGCUGAGCUCCCAGGCCAGCCAGAUUUCUUAUGCUUAGCAAAAAUAUUCAUUAACGACUUAAUCUGCACACACACAGGGGAAGCUUUUAGUGUAUUUGUUCUAGGUCCGUGAAACAGUGAUCUGGCCACUGCUUUAAACUCUGCCUUGAUCUGUGAUCUCAGAGAUGAAGAAUUCAGCAAAAUGCUGCUGGGGGAGAUGUCCCGAAGCAUCCCCUGUGCUCACACUGCAGCGUAACCGCGGACACGCACCGCUCGACCCAGAAAGCGCGUGUUGCAAGAAUGUGCUUUGAGCCACAGCUCAUGGCCAAGGCCAUGGGACCAGCUGUGCUCUUGGUGUUUGUUUGCCAGCUUUGGGAUUUGUGUCACAAACUCCAUGUCAUUUGUGUCCCAGCUGCUGAAAGCACGGAGGAAGCAGAUGAAAGCCUUUUGCAUCUGCUCCCUGGGAGUGCCGGAGUUCCCCACAUGCCACCUUUAAAGCAGUUAAAAUGGCUUUGGGUCUGAGGGCUCUGGGGUCAUCAGCACUGUGGAGUCCUACACUGGGGAAGGAUUUGGCAGAAUGCAGAGGGUGAGACUCUUGGCCCUGGCUUACAUGGAGGGAGAGUGGGAUGGGAGCACAUGAGCCCAUGUCAAGGCACUGCGCUGAUGCCACAGGGGCAGAUGGCUCUGACUGCAGCACCCAGCCAUGUGGGUGCUUUGUGGCUGCCAUGUGAGCACAGCCAGGGCUCAGAAACAUCCUGCUUCUCAAGGUAUGUGCUGAGAGAGCUGAGAUGCUCCUAUGGGACAGCAUGGAACCCACGGACUGAAAUAAGGCAGUGACAAUUGAUGUCCCCCUUCCCGCUCCCUCCACAGACUGUUAUGUCUGAUGCUAACCUGUUACAGCUGAUAACAGUCGCAAAUGCUGCUGCUGCUUUCAUAAAAAUUCGUGGGAUGCCAGAUUAUUUCCACGCGCAAUGGAAACCCUGGGGCCUUGUCGCAUGGCCUUCUGCCCAAACAUCUCCACCACAGCCACUGUGGAAAUGGGGCUGGGAAUGCCUUGAGGCUGGGGCUGCCCAAAGUACUGACCGCUGGCUGAGGACGGAGGGACAGAUGGACACACAGCUCCUAUAGGAGAUUCUAAGCACCGGGGGAACUCCAUGGACACAUCCCGAUGGAAGCUGAGUUCCUCAGUCCCAUGGGAACAUCCGGAGCGUGUUCCAGCCAACAGCCCCUGUGCCCUGAGCAGGAUGUGCUCCCACGGAGCAGCGCGGGGAGGGCGCGGGGAGAGCAGUUGGCAGGAGCGCAGCUGCGGCUCGGUGUGAGUUUCUGGGGGGAUUUUUA